This 614-nucleotide ribosomal RNA is filed under the name uncultured fungus. RNAcentral's name for it is "eukaryotic LSU rRNA". The stretch from base 191 to 344 matches the Rfam family "5.8S ribosomal RNA". Lineage: Eukaryota; Fungi. The record is from RNAcentral.
CAUUAACGAAUUGUAAUUGGAGUUGAUGCUGGCAGGCUUGGCUGCAUGUGCUCGCUCCUAACAAUCUUCAUCCAAACACCUGUGCACAUUUAGAGAGGGUCUCCGAGUCCUCCUUGGAGUCCCUUCCUCUCAUUACACACUUUAUUUCAAUGUUGAACGUGAUUGUGCCGUAAGGCCUUAAUAUUAAUACAACUUUUAACAACGGAUCUCUUGGCUCUCGCAUCGAUGAAGAACGCAGCGAAAUGCGAUAAGUAAUGUGAAUUGCAGAAUUCAGUGAAUCAUCAAAUUUUUGAACGCACCUUGCGCUCCCUGGUAUUCCGGGGAGCACGCCUGUUCGAGUGUCGUGAAAUUCUCAAACCGGGAUGCUUUUUUUGUUUCUCGGCUUGGUGUUGGGCUUUGCAGUUCCUUUGAUUGGGAUGGCUGGCCUUAAAAGCAUUAGCUGGCUUUUCAUGUGGCAUUGGUUCUACUCAGCGUGAUAAUGAUCUGACCGCUGAGGACAUCUUUCGAGAUGGCCAAUUCUCAUUUGGGCUGCUUCUAAUUUUGGUAGAGCAGAUUCUGAAUCUGUUCCACUUUUCAGCUUUUGACCUCGAAUCAGGUGGGACUACCCGCUGAAC